UGAACUCGGUUCCUCUCUGAACCUAAAACUCGUCAUUGUUUCCUCUCUAAACUUGAGACUUGUCGUUGAACCGAAGUCCUAACUCCUUGAUGUACCAAAGUCCUACCUACCUCCGAUAUACGUGAUGCAUGAAUGCACCCAAAAAAUGCAACAAAUCGUAUCAAACCUCCAACUCCAAUACUCGUCACUGGUUCCUCUCUAAGCCUAAACUCAA
This 214-nucleotide long non-coding RNA is filed under the name Lathyrus oleraceus (garden pea). RNAcentral describes it as "Pisum sativum (pea) long non-coding RNA (PSAT_LNC012324)". Lineage: Eukaryota; Viridiplantae; Streptophyta; Magnoliopsida; Fabales; Fabaceae. The record is from RNAcentral.